Long non-coding RNA from Parasteatoda tepidariorum (common house spider), 519 nucleotides. RefSeq lists it as uncharacterized. The record is from RefSeq and is a predicted model, not a curated record. Lineage: Eukaryota; Metazoa; Arthropoda; Arachnida; Araneae; Theridiidae.
UCGCAAAGAAGCUUAAACAUACUUUAAAACUUAUAAAAUUGUGUAGAUAUCAGAUGUUAUGGAGCUUUACGAUGCUCUGGUGCAUAGAAAUAGAAUGAAAAUCAGUAACUAGCUCUUAAUAGUUGAUUGAAAAUACAAUGACUGAGUUAAAUCUCAGUUUAUCUGAAUGGAAUCAGAAAUAGGGGAUUAUGAAUAUAGUCAAGACAUGAGAUGACGUAAUUGGCGAAACCUUUUUGCUGGAUACGUGGAUGCAAAGACUUACUCAUUGAGUUUGUAACAAAAUGCCUUGAGAACGCGGCAGUUUAGAUGAAGUUAGCACUUUCAUGACGAAUUGAAAUGUAAAUAAAAUGACUUUUUAUUUAAAAAAAAAGCAUUUUAAACUUACCCUGUUAUCAUAACCUAGAGCUCCCCUUUUUUGAGGCACUGUCUUAUAUUCCCAGUCAUAUUUCCCAUGUUGCAAAAGAAAUGCAGCUGCAGGAAUCUCUGUGAUUGCAUCGGGAUUGGGCCCAGCUUCCAAAA